Molecule: ribosomal RNA, 652 nt
Filed under: uncultured bacterium
Lineage: Bacteria
Description: bacterial SSU rRNA
Rfam family: Bacterial small subunit ribosomal RNA
Source: RNAcentral
GCUCACUGGCUCGAUACUGACGCUGUGGUGCGAAAGUGUGGGGAGCAAACAGGAUUAGAUACCCUGGUAGUCCACACCGUAAACGAUGAAUGCCAGUCGUCGGAUAGCAUGCUAUUCGGUGACACACCUAACGGAUUAAGCAUUCCGCCUGGGGAGUACGGCCGCAAGGUUAAAACUCAAAGAAAUUGACGGGGGCCCGCACAAGCGGUGGAGCAUGUGGUUUAAUUCGAAGCAACGCGCAGAACCUUACCAACCCUUGACAUCCUGGUCGCGGUUACGAGAGAUCGUUUCCUUCAGUUCGGCUGGACCAGUGACAGGUGCUGCAUGGCUGUCGUCAGCUCGUGUCGUGAGACGUUCGGUUAAGUCCGGCAACGAGCGCAACCCACAUCCCUAGUUGCCAGCAGUUCGGCUGGGCACUCUAUGGAAACUGCCCGUGAUAAGCGGGAGGAAGGUGUGGAUGACGUCAAGUCCUCAUGGCCCUUACGGGUUGGGCUACACACGUGCUACAAUGGUGGUGACAGUGGGUUAAUCCCCAAAAGCCAUCUCAGUUCGGAUUGUCGUCUGCAACUCGGCGGCAUGAAGUCGGAAUCGCUAGUAAUCGCGUAACAGCAUGACGCGGUGAAUACGUUCCCGGGCCUUGUACACACCGCCC